RNAcentral lists this ribosomal RNA (766 nucleotides) under uncultured fungus. RNAcentral describes it as "eukaryotic LSU rRNA". It matches the Rfam family "Eukaryotic large subunit ribosomal RNA", at positions 24 to 664 of the family's 3401-position model. The record is from RNAcentral. Lineage: Eukaryota; Fungi.
CCCGCUGAACUUAAGCAUAUCAAUAAGCGGAGGAAAAGAAAAUAACAAUGAUUUCCCCAGUAACGGCGAGUGAAGAGGAAAGAGCUCAAAGUUGGAACCUGUUUGGCUUAGCUAAACCGGAUUGUAAACUGUAGAAGUGUUUUCCUGACACGCCUGGUAAAAAAGUCCUUUGGAACAGGGCAUCAUAGAGGGUGAGAAUCCCGUCUUUGGCCAGAGCUGUUGUCUUUUGUGAUACAUUUUCAAAGAGUCAGGUUGUUUGGGAAUGCAGCCUAAAUUGGGUGGUAAAUCUCACCUAAAGCUAAAUAUUUGCGAGAGACCGAUAGCGAACAAGUACCGUGAGGGAAAGAUGAAAAGAACUUUGAAAAGAGAGUUAAACAGUAUGUGAAAUUGUUAAAAGGGAACCGUUUGGAGCCAGACUGGCUUGACUGUAAUCAAUCUAGGCUUCGGCCUGGAUGCACUUGCGGUCUAUGCCUGCCAACGACAGUUUUAUUUGGGGGAAAAAAUUAUUGGGAAUGUGGCCUUUCGAGGUGUUAUAGCCCUUUAAAAAAUACCCUGGAUUGGACUGAGGAACGCAGUGAAUGCCUUUAGGCAAGAUUGCUGGGUGCUUUCGCUAAUAAAUGCUAGAAUUUCUGCUUCGGGUGGUGCUAGUGUUUAAAGGUGGAACUCGCUUAGUAUAUUUUUUAUUCGCUUAGGUUGUUGGCUUAAUGACUCUAAAUGACCCGUCUUGAAACCACGGAAGGGCGAAAAUUCGCCGGGCCCUGGCCUU